Molecule: long non-coding RNA, 593 nt
Organism: Suricata suricatta (meerkat)
Lineage: Eukaryota; Metazoa; Chordata; Mammalia; Carnivora; Herpestidae
Exons: 2
Source: RefSeq, a predicted model, not a curated record
CCAGAGCUAGGAUGCAGGGACUGUUCCCCAGGUGUCUCCAAGGCUCCUGCAGACACGGAGGGGACCCAUGAUGGGAAAGAGCCUUCCGAUGGGGCAGGAGAAACAAGGAAUCUCUCUAGAUCGGUUGCUCAAGCCCAGCAACGCUGACAUCUUGGGCCAGAUCAUUCUUCGUCAUCAGGAGCCCCCCGUACAUGCAGGACAUUUAGUAGCAUCCCUGGGGUCCACCAGCAGCCACCAAGCCAGGGGCAGAGGUUCCUGGUCCAUUCAUUCAACAUCCAUUCACUCUGUGGGUCUUUCUAUGCACCUGGCGUCACUCGGGGCCUUCCAGCCAAUAAGUGGACAAGACGGACAGAAGUCCCACCCUUCAGAAGACCCUGAAGGUCAGGACGUGCCUGCGACCCCAAGGCUGCGGACAGAACGUGGCACAAAGCAGGUUUGCAACCCGGGCUUCUCUGAGUGAACAGAAGAGCGAAUCAUCUCCAUCAUCAUUCCUGCAAAGCCAUGUGCCCUCCCGAGAUCUCCGACCCCUGCGGGUCCCAGCAGCCCGUCCUGAGAGAUUUUGUCUAUUAAAACUACUGCUCUGCUCUCUUGAA